GAUGAACGCUAGCGGCAUGCUUAACACAUGCAAGUCGAGCGGCAGCAUGGUCUUAGCUUGCUAAGACUGAUGGCGACCGGCGCACGGGUGCGUAACGUGUAUGCAACUUGCCUCACAGAGGGGGAUAACCCGUCGAAAGACGGACUAAUACCGCGUUCACUCCAUCUUGGGCAUCCAAGGUAGAGGAAAUGAAUUUGGCUGUGAGAGAGGCAUGCGUCCCAUUUGCUCGUUGGUGAGGUAACGGCUCACCACGGCGAGGAUGGGUAGGGGAACGGAGAGGUGGAACCCCGAGACUGGGACCGGGACACGGACCAGACUCCUACGGGACGGAGCAGUAAGGAAUAUAGGUCAAGGGACGAGGGCCUGAACCAGCCAAGUCGCGUGAAGGAGGACUGUGUUAGGGAUGGUAUGCUUCUUGUAGACGAGAACAGCAGGAGUCACGGGUGACUCCCUGCAGGUACCGGAUGAAUAAGCAACGGCUAACUCCGUG
This 490-nucleotide ribosomal RNA is filed under the name uncultured bacterium. RNAcentral's name for it is "partial 16S ribosomal RNA". It matches the Rfam family "Bacterial small subunit ribosomal RNA", at positions 28 to 507 of the family's 1533-position model. The record is from RNAcentral.